RNAcentral lists this long non-coding RNA (1174 nucleotides) under Brassica rapa (field mustard). RNAcentral's name for it is "long non-coding RNA (BRAP_LNC004666)". The record is from RNAcentral. Lineage: Eukaryota; Viridiplantae; Streptophyta; Magnoliopsida; Brassicales; Brassicaceae.
GUUUUAAAAAUAUUUAAAAUGUUAAAUAAUUACCAAAAAUAGUUUUCAUAAUAUUAAAAAUGUUUAAUAAAUAUAGAAAUUUAUAUUUUAUAUAUAAAAUACAUAAAACGUUUUAUAACCACAAAAAAAUGAUUUUAAAUAUUAUAUAUAUGAUUUUUAAUCUUAAAAAAAGUUUUACAGAUUUUAAAAAUGUUUAAUAAAUAUAUAAAUGAAUUACAAAAAAUAGUUUUAAAAAUAUUUAAAAUGUUAAAUAAUUACAAAAAAUAGUUUUCAUAAUAUUAAAAAUGUUUAAUAAAUAUAGAAAUUUAUAUUUUAUAUAUAAAAUACAUAAAACGUUUUAUAACCACAAAAAAAUGAUUUUAAAUAUUAUAUAUAUGAUUUUUAAUCAUAAAAAAAGUUUUAUAGAUUUUAAAAAUGUUUAAUAAAUAUAUAAAUGAAUUUAAAAUGCAAAAAAUAGAUUUUAUAUACAAAAAACGUUUUCAAUAUAUAUAUAUAAUUACAAAUUCGAUUUUUAUAACCACAAAAUUAAUAAAAACUAAAAAAAAAAAAAUUCAAAUCAAGUGAAAUACAUAAUCAAACUCGAUUUUACUCAAAUCUACCAUUCACCCUAACAAAAUCUAUAAAUCUCAUUCCAAAAUCAUCAAAUCUACUUAAAAACCAUACAAAUCUAACCUAAAAGAGUGGGAUAGGGUUCAUACAUGUGGAAAUCGCGAGGGAGAAGAGAGAAAGCGCCGUAAAUCGCAAGGGAGAAGAGAGGAGUCGACGAAAUCGCAGGGGAAAGAGAGAGUGCGGCGGAGAGAAAUGGGGAAGAAGGUCGGGCUCGACCUAAUAAAAUGAGGGGUCCGACGGAAAUUAUCCGUCGGAAUUUCCUCGGAAAUAUUUACUAUAUCCGUCGGAAUUUCCUCGGAAAUCAUUAAUUCAAUUUUCGCGAAAUAUUUGGCGGCUUGGUUUACCCGGUUAAAUGAAAAUAUUCCGAGGAACCAGGUUUCCUCGGAAUUUCCUCGGAAUUUACCGAGGAAAUUCUGAGGAACCAGGGUUUGGGGUUUCAAAACAUCGAUUAUUUUCGCCGUAUUUCAUUUCUUAUACAAUUAUAAUGCAUACCAUUGAGGAUUCUUUGUAUAGAUGAUCAUAAACCAUGAAAUAACAAAAUUUCAAAAAUAAUUGUAAGUAUUCC